GCCUCAUCAAAUCUGAAGAAGGAAGUGGGAGAGAUGGAUCCAACGCUGGCCCAGCUGCAUAGGAGGGCAGUAGCUCUACGUGUAAACUCCAGAUGCUUGUACUUUGGUGACAUCACCGGCUGGAGGACUGAGAGCAGAGAUUCCCUUCAUUUUAUUCCCUAUUGACUUAAGUGAGUAAAUUAUGAAGAUACAUGCUGAAGCCACAGAAUGAAAAUAAGUUAAG
This is a long non-coding RNA of Lagenorhynchus albirostris (white-beaked dolphin), 223 nucleotides long. RefSeq lists it as uncharacterized. The record is from RefSeq and is a predicted model, not a curated record. The transcript is spliced from 3 exons. Lineage: Eukaryota; Metazoa; Chordata; Mammalia; Artiodactyla; Delphinidae.